AGACCAGACUCCUACGGGAGGCAGCAGUGAGGAAUAUUGGUCAAUGGGCGAGAGCCUGAACCAGCCAAGUAGCGUGAGGGAAGACUGCCCUAUGGGUUGUAAACCUCUUUUAUGCGGGGAUAAAGGUGUCCACGUGUGGAUGUUUGCAGGUACCGCAUGAAUAAGGACCGGCUAAUUCCGUGCCAGCAGCCGCGGUAAUACGGAAGGUCCGGGCGUUAUCCGGUUUUAUUGGGUUUAAAGGGUGCGCAGGCGGAGGAUCAAGUCAGCGGUAAAAUGGGGAGGCUCACCCUCUUCGAGCCGUUGAAACUGGUUUUCUUGAGUGAGCGAGAAGUAUGCGGAAUGCGUGGUGUAGCGGUGAAAUGCAUAGAUAUCACGCAGAACUCCGAUUGCGAAGGCAGCAUACCGGCGCUCAACUGACGCUCAUGCACGAAAGUGUGGGUAUCGAACAGGAUUAGAUACCCCUGUAACU
This 469-nucleotide ribosomal RNA is filed under the name uncultured bacterium. RNAcentral's name for it is "bacterial SSU rRNA". It matches the Rfam family "Bacterial small subunit ribosomal RNA", at positions 328 to 795 of the family's 1533-position model. The record is from RNAcentral.